AUUUUAACUUAACUUAUGACAUUUUUAGUAAUUGUAUUAUAUUUAAUAGGAAUUUUUAUUUUUUUAUUAAUCGUUAUUAUUUAAUAAUAAUUUUAUUAAGAAUUGAAUUUAUUUAUAUAAGCUUAUUAUUAAUACUUUGCAUUUUUUUUUGCAUAUUUAAUAUUUUAGGUGUAUUUACUUUUUUAAUUAGAAUUGUUUGCGAAGCUGGAUUAGGGUUGAGAAUAUUAGUAAUAAUAAGAUUUUAUUACGGAAAUGAAAUAAUAAAAAUAAUAACUUUAAUUAAAUGUUAAUGUAUAUACCAAUAAUUUUAAUUUUAUGUUUUUUUAUUUUAUGAAUUCUUAUCAAAUUAUAGUUUAUUUAAUAAUUUUAAUAAUUUUAUUAGUGUUAAAAGGUUUAAUAAAUAAUGCUGAGAUAAUUAUAAACUUUUUUAUUUUGAUCUUAUAAGUUUUAGAAUAAUCAGUUUAACAGUUUGAAUUACUUUUUUAAUAUUAAUAGCAAGCCGAUUAAAUAAUCUUUUUCAAAAUAAAAUUUUUACUUUUUACAUUUUAAUAAUAAUAAAUUUAUUAUUCUUUUGUUUUUCAUUUAAUAAUUUUAUAUUAUUUUAUUUAUUUUUUGAAUCAGUUUUAUUCCCAAUUGUUCUAAUAAUUAUAGGGUGAGGAUCACAACCUGAACGAAUUCAAGCCGGAUUUUAUAUACUAAUAUACACAAUUUUUGGUUCAUUACCUUUAUUAGUGUUAAUAUUAACAAAAAGAAUUUCUUUUAUAAUUAUUUAUAAUGAAUGAUUAUUUAGAGAGAUAAAUUGAAUAUUUAUUAUAAUGAUUAUAGGUUUUUUAGUAAAAAUUCCCAUAUUUUUAUUUCAUUUAUGAUUACCAAAAGCACAUGUAGAAGCCCCAAUUUCAGGCUCCAUGAUUUUAGCAGGUGUUUUACUAAAAUUAGGAUUUUAUGGUUUAUACCGAUUUAAAAGAUUUUUUUUAUUGAUUUAAUCAAUUUUAGAAUAAUUAUUAUUGUAAUUUCUUUAUGAGGAGCAGUGAUAAUUAGAAUUUAUUGUUUAUUCCAGAUUGAUAUUAAAUCUUUAAUUGCAUAUUCUUCUGUAUCUCAUAUGGGAAUUGCUUUAAGGGGUUGUUUAACAUUUUAUUUGUAUGGUUCAUAUGGAAUAUUAAUAAUAAUAAUUGGUCAUGGUUUAUGUAGUUCAGGUCUUUUUUGCUUAAGUAAUUUAAUUUAUGAACGAUUUUACACUCGAAAUAUUUUUAUAAUUAAAGGAAUAAAUUUAAUUUUUCCAAAUUUAACUUUAUGAUGAUUUUUAUUUAGAAUUGUUAAUAUAUCAGCCCCUAUAACAAUAAAUUUAUUUAGAGAAUUAUUUUUAGGGUUAAGAGUAAUAAAGUUUAGAAUAUUAUUAAUAAUUCCAAUAAUAAUAUUAAUUUUUUUAAGCGCUUGUUAUUCAAUAUUUAUGUAUAGAUAUAUUAAUCAUGGUCAAAGAUGAAUAAUUUUUAGAAGAAAUAUAAUUUUUGCUCGAGAAUAUUAUUUAUUAUUUUUACAUUUAAUACCUUUAAUAUUAUGAUUUAUAAAAUUUAAUUUUUUUAUAAAAUGAUUAUAAAAGUUUAAUUAGUUUAAAAAAAAUUAUAAAUUGUGAUUUUAUAGAUGAAAGUUUCAUUAAACAAUUUUUAUUAAUUGAACUUUAAUGCUUUUAAUAUUUUCAAUAUUUUUUUUAGUUUGUCUUUUAUUUUUAUUAUACAAUAAUUCAUUUAUUAUUAUUGAAUAUUCUUUAGUAACAAUUUUAAGACAUGAAUUUAAAUUUUACAUUCUAUUAGACUGAAUAAGUUGUAUAUUUUCUUUUAUUGUUUUGUUAAUUUCAAGAAUAGUUUUGUGAUAUAGAUUUAGGUAUAUAAUAUUAGAUAAAAAUAAAAUAUCUUUUUGUUGAAUAGUUUUAUUUUUUAUUCUAUCAAUAUUACUUUUAAUUUUAAUACCCAAUAUAUGUAUAUUAAUUUUGGGAUGAGAUGGCUUAGGUUUAGUAUCUUAUUGUUUAGUUAUUUAUUAUCAAAGAGUGAAUUCAUAUAAUUCAGGAAUAAUAACUAUUAUUAGUAAUCGAGUUGGGGAUGUUAUAAUCAUUAUAAUAAUUAUUUUUGCAAUUAAUUUCAAUUCUUUUGAGCUAGUUUCUUUUCGAAAAUUUGAAUUAAUUUGAGGUUUAUUAAUUAUUAUUGCUGCUAUAACAAAAAGAGCACAAAUUCCAUUUUCAGCUUGACUUCCUGCAGCAAUAGCUGCUCCAACUCCAGUCUCUGCUUUAGUUCAUUCUUCAACUUUGGUAACUGCUGGGGUUUAUUUACUUAUUCGAUUUAAUUUAUUAUUUAACUAUAGGGUUUUUAGAAUAUUUUUACUAAAAAUUUCUUUAAUAACUAUAGUUAUAGCUGGAAUUAACGCUUUUUUUGAAAAUGACUUAAAAAAAAUUAUCGCUUUUUCAACUUUAAGUCAAUUAUCAAUUAUAAUAUUAACUUUAGCUUUAGGCCUUACUUCUUUGUCUUUCUUUCAUUUAAUUGUACAUGCUAUUUUUAAAUCAAUGUUAUUUUUAUGUGCUGGGUUUAUUAUUCAUAAUUUAAUAGGAAACCAAGAUAUUCGUUUUCUUUCAAAUUUUUUUAAAUUCAGUCCUACAAUUUUAAGUUGUAUAAUUAUUGGAAUAUUAUCUUUAAUGGGG
Rhipicephalus microplus (southern cattle tick) is the source of this 2686-nucleotide non-coding RNA. The record is from RefSeq and is a predicted model, not a curated record. NCBI's taxonomy places the organism in Eukaryota, Metazoa, Arthropoda, Arachnida, Ixodida, Ixodidae.